Molecule: ribosomal RNA, 1218 nt
Filed under: metagenome
Description: bacterial SSU rRNA
Rfam family: Archaeal small subunit ribosomal RNA
Source: RNAcentral
CAGGUAGUAGUGGGUGUAGCGUACCUACUAGCCUACGACGGGUACGGGUUGUGAGAGCAAGAGCCCGGAGAUGGAUUCUGAGACACGAAUCCAGGCCCUACGGGGCGCAGCAGGCGCGAAAACUUUACAAUGCCGGCAACGGCGAUAAGGGGACCUCGAGUGCCAGGUUACAAAUCUGGCUGUCGUGAUGCCUAAAAAGCAUUGCAUAGCAAGGGCCGGGCAAGACCGGUGCCAGCCGCCGCGGUAACACCGGCGGCUCGAGUGGUAACCGUUAUUAUUGGGUCUAAAGGGUCUGUAGCCGGCCGGAUAAGUCUCUUGGGAAAUCCAGCAGCUCAACUGUUGGGCUUUCAGGAGAUACUGUCUGGCUCGAGGCCGGGAGAGGUGAGAGGUACUUCAGGGGUAGGGGUGAAAUCUUGUAAUCCUUGAAGGACCACCAGUGGCGAAGGCGUCUCACCAGAACGGACCUGACGGCAAGGGACGAAAGCUAGGGGCACGAACCGGAUUAGAUACCCGGGUAGUCCUAGCCGUAAACGAUACUCGCUAGGUGUCGGCCACGGUGCGACCGUUGUCGGUGCCGUAGGGAAGCCGUGAAGCGAGCCACCUGGGAAGUACGGCCGCAAGGCUGAAACCUAAAGGAAUUGGCGGGGGAGCACCACAACGGGUGGAGCUUGCGGUUUAAUUGGAUUCAACGCCGGAAAUCUUACCGGGACCGACAGCAAUAUGAAGGCCAGGCUGAAGACUUUGCCGGAUUAGCUGAGAGGUGGUGCAUGGCCGUCGUCAGUUCGUACUGUGAAGCAUCCUGUUAAGUCAGGCAACGAGCGAGACCCACGCCCACAGUUGCCAGCGUACUCUCCGGAGUGACGGGUACACUGUGGGGACCGCCGCUGCUAAAGCGGAGGAAGGAAUGGGCAACGGUAGGUCAGUAUGCCCCGAAUAUCCCGGGCUACACGCGAGCUACAAUGGUUGGUACAAUGGGUAUCUACCCCGAAAGGGGAUGGAAAUCUCCUAAAGCCAAUCUUAGUUCGGAUUGAGGGCUGCAACUCGCCCUCAUGAAGCUGGAAUCCGUAGUAAUCGCGUUUCAACAGAACGCGGUGAAUACGUCCCUGCUCCUUGCACACACCGCCCGUCAAACCACCCGAGUAGGGUCUGAAUGAGAGCGCUUCCUUCGGAGGCGUUCGAAUUUGGGCUUUGCAAGGGGGGUUAAGUCGUAACAAGGUA